Molecule: ribosomal RNA, 495 nt
Filed under: uncultured bacterium
Lineage: Bacteria
Description: bacterial SSU rRNA
Rfam family: Bacterial small subunit ribosomal RNA
Source: RNAcentral
AUGAACGCUAGCGGCAGGCUUAAUACAUGCAAGUUGAGGGGCAGCAUGAUAUACGCGAGUAUAUUGAUGGCGACCGGCGGACGGGUGAGUAAUAGGUAGGAGACCUACCUCAUACAGGGGGAUAGCAUAGAGAAAUCUGUGGUAAUACCCCAUGAGGUUAUAUGAAUAGAGGCAUAUAAUCAAAGCAUAAGUGAUUAUGCGGUAUGAGAGGGGCCUACUGACCAUUAGCUAGUUGGUGAGGUAAGGGCUCACCAAGGCGAAGAUGGUUAGGGGUUUUGAGAGAGAGACCCCCCCACAUUGGAACUGAGAGACGGUCCAGACUCCUACGGGAGGCAGCAGUAGGGAAUAUUGGGCAAUGGGCGAAAGCCUGACCCAGCCAUGCCGCGUGAAGGAAGACGGCCUUAUGGGUUGUAAACUUCUUUACUACGCGAAUAGAGGUUAGUACGAGAUACUAAUAGGAAGGUAGUGUAGUAAAAAGCACCGGCUAACUCCGUG